This is a long non-coding RNA of Salvia miltiorrhiza (redroot sage), 1102 nucleotides long. RefSeq lists it as uncharacterized. NCBI's taxonomy places the organism in Eukaryota, Viridiplantae, Streptophyta, Magnoliopsida, Lamiales, Lamiaceae. The transcript has 4 exons. The record is from RefSeq and is a predicted model, not a curated record.
AGUGGAGCUGUUUAAGAAAAUCCAAUUCGUAUAUUCCAACAGAAUGUUUACAGCAAGCUCAUGCCAACAUCAAAACCAAGUUUCACACAGAAAAAAAAACACCCGAAAUAACAUCUAUAAUCUCCGAGAUCUCCUUAUUCAAACAGUAUAUGCCAACAAAUUUUCACCAAGAAGAAGAAAACAGAUCAGCCAAUCAAGCACAAAUAGACAAGGUCAAGCGCGAGAGUAAGAACUACUCAAGGAGUCACAAUACCUUAGCAAAACUUUGCUAUCAGGUUGAGCUGUGAUGGGCGAUGAAGUGUUGCUGAGUGGAGUUUUUGUCGAACUUAAAGUAGGCUCAGAAAGGAUACAUGUCUUCAUACAUGUAUCACAGUUAUGCUUUCCGCUGUAAACACUGAUUAUUUCAGUUACGCCUUCCGUUGCAAACUCUGAUAAUGUUUUAGCCAAGCCCCUAAUGAUGCCUUUUUCCUUUUAAGGAAUAUAACGCGUAUACAAGUUCUUUGAGUACCCUUUUUAUGCGAACUAUGCCUUUUUCCUUUUUAAGGAAUAUUUCACGCGUAUUCAAGCUCUUUGAGUAUUCUUUUAUGCACCCCUUUCUAAACCCGCUUCUUAAUUUCCCUUCCCCAGUCAUGGUUUUCCCGGAUUAAUUAUCCUUAAUUAAGGCCGGUCGUGACAGAGUGGUAUCAGAGCAGAUCGUUUGCUCUGAGCCUAAGAGUUUAUUUAAGCCAAACUUAGAAUGGAUCACUAAAGUGUCUAGAGUUCAAUCGACAAAGCUCAGCACUUCAUCGCAUCACACUCAACGAAGCAGAAUGGUUGAGCUGUGAUGGGCGAUGAAGUGUUGCUGAGUGGAGUUUUUGUCGAACUUAAAGUAGGCUCAGAAAGGAUACAUGUCUUCAUACAUGUAUCACAGUUAUGCUUUCCGCUGUAAACACUGAUUAUUUCAGUUACGCCUUCCGUUGCAAACUCUGAUAAUGUUUUAGCCAAGCCCCUAAUGAUGCCUUUUUCCUUUUAAGGAAUAUAACGCGUAUACAAGUUCUUUGAGUACCCUUUUUAUGCGAACUAUGCCUUUUUCCUUUUUAAGGAAUAUUUCACGCGUAUUCAA